GAUGAACGCUAGCGGCAGGCUUAACACAUGCAAGUCGAGGGGCAGCAUAAUGGUAGCAAUACUAUUGAUGGCGACCGGCGGACGGGUGCGUAACGCGUAUGCAACCUACCCUUUACAGGGGGAUAACACUGAGAAAUCGGUACUAAUACCCCAUAAUAUUCUGGGAGGCAUCUUUCGGAGUUGAAAGCUUUGGUGGUAAAGGAUGGGCAUGCGUUGUAUUAGCUAGUUGGUAAGGUAACGGCUUACCAAGGCGACGAUACAUAGGGGGACUGAGAGGUUAACCCCCCACAUUGGUACUGAGACACGGACCAAACUCCUACGGGAGGCAGCAGUGAGGAAUAUUGGUCAAUGGACGGAAGUCUGAACCAGCCAUGCCGCGUGCAGGAAGACGGCUCUAUGAGUUGUAAACUGCUUUUGUACGAGGGUAAACGCAGAUACGCGUAUCUGCCUGAAAGUAUCGUACGAAUAAGGAUCGGCUAACUCCGUGCCAGCAGCCGCGGUAAUACGGAGGAUCCAAGCGUUAUCCGGAUUUAUUGGGUUUAAAGGGUGCGUAGGCGGUUUAGUAAGUCAGCGGUGAAAUUUUGGUGCUUAACACCAAACGUGCCGUUGAUACUGCUGGGCUAGAGAGUAGUUGCGGUAGGCGGAAUGUAUGGUGUAGCGGUGAAAUGCUUAGAGAUCAUACAGAACACCGAUUGCGAAGGCAGCUUACCAAACUAUAUCUGACGUUGAGGCACGAAAGCGUGGGGAGCAAACAGGAUUAGAUACCCUGGUAGUCCACGCAGUAAACGAUGAUAGCUCGUUGUCGGCGAUACACAGUCGGUGACUAAGAGAAAUCGAUAAGCUAUCCACCUGGGGAGUACGUUCGCAAGAAUGAAACUCAAAGGAAUUGACGGGGGCCCGCACAAGCGGAGGAACAUGUGGUUUAAUUCGAUGAUACGCGAGGAACCUUACCCGGGCUUGAAAGUUACUGACGAUUCUGGAAACAGGAUUUCCCUUCGGGGCAGGAAACUAGGUGCUGCAUGGUUGUCGUCAGCUCGUGCCGUGAGGUGUCGGGUUAAGUCCCAUAACGAGCGCAACCUCUACUGAUAGUUGCCAUCAGA
Molecule: ribosomal RNA, 1100 nt
Filed under: uncultured bacterium
Lineage: Bacteria
Description: bacterial SSU rRNA
Rfam family: Bacterial small subunit ribosomal RNA
Source: RNAcentral